This 275-nucleotide unclassified non-coding RNA is filed under the name uncultured fungus. Its description in RNAcentral is "sequence contains ITS2". The stretch from base 1 to 52 matches the Rfam family "5.8S ribosomal RNA", at positions 103 to 154 of the family's 154-position model. Lineage: Eukaryota; Fungi. The record is from RNAcentral.
AACGCACCUUGCACUCCUUGGUCUUCCGAGGAGUAUGCCUGUUUGAGUGUCAUGAAAUUAUCAACAUCAUAGUUUUGUUACUGUGAUGCUUGGACUUGGAGGUUGCAGGCCCUGCUGGCUCCUCUCAAAUUUAUUAGCUGCUUGUCUGUGGGUUGGCUCAGAGUGUGAUAAGUAUCUACACUUGGUGGCUGCCUGUCUAGAUGCGGCUUCUAAUUGUCUUUGGACAACUUUUAAGAUCUGACCUCAAAUCAGGUAGGACUACCCGCUGAACUUAA